CCUACGGGUGGCUGCAGUGAGGAAUAUUGCGCAAUGGGGGCAACCCUGACGCAGCAACGCCGCGUGAGUGAGGAAGGUUUUCGGACCGUAAAGCUCUGUCGAGUGGGAAGAAAUGUAUCAUGGCUAAUAUCCAUGAUAUUUGACGGUACCGCUAAAGGAAGCACCGGCUAACUCCGUGCCAGCAGCCGCGGUAAUACGGGGGGUGCAAGCGUUGUUCGGAAUUGUGUGGGCUACUGAACAAGUAGGCGGUGAAAUCCCUGGGCUUAACUCAGGAAGUGCAUUUGAAACUAUUCAGCUUGAGUAGGGGAGAGGAAAGUGGAAUUCCUGGUGUAGAGGUGAAAUUCGUAGAUAUCAGGAGGAACACCGGUGGCGAAGGCGACUUUCUGGCCCUAUACUGACGCUGAGACGCGAGAGCGUGGGUAGCAAACAGGAUUAGAUACCCCAGUAGUC
RNAcentral lists this ribosomal RNA (450 nucleotides) under uncultured bacterium. RNAcentral describes it as "partial 16S ribosomal RNA". It matches the Rfam family "Bacterial small subunit ribosomal RNA", at positions 338 to 795 of the family's 1533-position model. The record is from RNAcentral.